AUCUGACGAGUUCCAAACAAGACGAAACGCGCGUCUUAGAU
Molecule: non-coding RNA, 41 nt
Filed under: Schistosoma margrebowiei
Lineage: Eukaryota; Metazoa; Platyhelminthes; Trematoda; Strigeidida; Schistosomatidae
Source: RNAcentral